ACUUCCGGCGCGUGGGCUCCCGGGCAGAAUGGAGCGUUUCCUUGGAAACCAGGCGAGUGAGCGCUCCAGUGGGCGUGGUAUUAGCUGAUGUUUGCAGAAUUAUUUCCACCAUGAUGGUUCCGCUGUGCUCCGUUUUAGUUGGAAGGACCUGAGGGGGAGAGGCGAACGUUUUCCUGAACGGAUCAAGUACUUGAAUUGCCUUUUUUUUUUAAAUUUGUUUUUCGAGACGGUUUCUCUGUGUAGUUCUGGUGCCUGUCCUAGAGCUCGCUCUUUAGACCAGGCUGGCCUCGAACUCACAGAGAUCCUCCUGGCUCUGCCUCUCGAGUGCUGGGAUUAAAGACGUGCGCCACCACCGCCCAGCUUUAUAAAGCUCCUCAAAGCCUUUUGUUUCUUACUGGCCGAAGCGUGACUAUGUGGAAAGGCUGAGUUUUGGUAAAUGGGAUAUUUGAAAUAAAAGAGGAGCAUUUGUUACUGCUGGUAAGAACUGUUUUUUGAAGAACUGGAUCUGUAGGCAUAAGAAAUGCAAAAGGAGAUCUCUGAUUUAGAUCAGUUAUUAAUUACACAUUCUAGUAGUGACCAUUACAGUGGAUGAAGUCCUGGGCCAAACGAUUUACAUUAACUCCAAAAUCUUACCUUCAUAAAAAACUGACAUCAAAAUAAACUGGCUUGUUUAAAGUCCCUAGCUAGGGCUGGCCACACACAAGAUUUCAGAUACCACUGCAUAGAUUAUGGGGCCUAUUGCAAAAUAGAAAUGCAAGACCUCCUCAUUUAAAAACCAGGAAAAUGUUUAUUGCAUUGUGUCUCCACUUGUAAUAAUAAUAUUAAUAAUAAUAGUAAUAAUAAUAAUACCCCACAAAACUGCUGUGGUGCCCCCUCGGUUUUCUCCAUUGCAAGGUUGCAGAGUUACCAGUAUGGACCCCAAUGAUGGCUGCAAUUUCUGCUUGAGACUCAAGAGUAUGUAUUUGAGCAAGAUGACAACAGUUGCUGGGUGGGAAUAUUGGAGGAAGAAGCUAGAGAACUCAUCUGGUCAGAUCUGAUCAAAGACUAGUGGAACUGAGAGUCCGUGAGCACACUCAACAGGGACUCAGUUUUCCCUGUCGUAAGUUCUUUAAAGUCCCUGAACUCCCACUGUGUUGCUGUGCUUGGGCUGAUCUAACAAAACCCCACAGACUGGGAAGAUUACGUGACAGAGGUCUAUGUUCUCAGACUUUGCCAUCAGGGUUAGUUUCCAGGCUCUCCAGUUGCACAUGUCUGGCAUGUAAUUUUGGCCGUAUUCUCUUACAGUGUUUAUUCUCUGCACAUUUGGAGAGCUCUCUAGUGUCUCUCUCUUUUAAUGGCCACAACCCUCUUGGAUUAAGAUCUUACAGUAAUGAUCUGAUAAAGCCUUAAAAUUAUUCCCACAAAUGUUUUAUCCCUGUUAUCACAUUAGGGAUUAGGAAUUGAAUAUAUGGACGGAGAGUAGAUAAAAUCAAGAUUUAGUUCAGAAAGCAUACUUCUAGAUUGCCUCAAAGUAAUCUUGACUUUCGGCCUUAUUGUUGUCAAUGCUAUCAUUUUCCUCGAUUUGUAAAUAGAACUCAUGUUUGCAAAUACAUUUAAACCUAGAUAUUUAGCGUCAGGAAAGAAUCAAAAACUACACUCAGACAUAUGUAGACAAUUUUCUUUUUACAAGAUUGUGAAGGUAAUUAAGUGGGCAGAAUAACAGUCUUUUAAGCAACGUGUGAGUAAAUAAUUAAAUAUCUGUAUGAAACACUUGUAUCACACCACUCCAGAACUAAAGAAACUGCAGAUACCAAAACGUAAAAACUCAAACUUACAGAAAAUAACUUAGAUUACAAAUCUUAUGACCUUGUAUUAGGUAAUGCUUUCUUACAUAUAAAAAGAUCCACAUGGAAUAUAUUGACGAAUGGCACCGAAUCAAUGACACUGCGAGUGUUUCCCCAAGCACGCCAUUAGAAGAAGGAAAGCACAUGAUGACUUCAUUCGUCAUUCUCUUCCUUUGACUAUAAGCACAGGUUUUGUGGUAUAAACUCUUAGCCACUAGGACUCUAGGGAGAGAUGACUUUGUAGGUCACUUUUAGACCCACCUGCACUUCAUAACUUUCACUUCAUAACCAAACAUCUGAGUUGAAGGUAACAUCUCAAAGUUAAAAACAAAUUGAGGGCGGGGCGGUGGCGCACACCUUUAAUUCCAGCACUCGGGAGGCAGAGCCAGGUGGGAUAAGUUUUAGGCCUUCUGAAGGCCUCUUGGCUGUGGCAAAAAACCGAAUCAGAUUGAAUCAGGGAAAGUCUAGGUUUAUUGGGUAAAAACGCUCCAGGGCAAUUCAGAGUGCAGAACAUGAGUCUGUUUUCUGGGAUGCAUAUAUCCCCUGUUGUCUUGAGCCUCUCUAGGGGAGGAGCUGUGUUUGGCAGGCUUUGAAGGGGUGGGUUUGGGGAAAGACAUGGGGAAGAAAGCAGAGGUGGAUCUUCCACCAGACUCCUUCCAAACAAGGCGGAUCUCUGUGAAUUCGAUGCCAGCCUGGUCUACAGAGCGAGAUCCAGGACAGGCACCAAAGCUACACAGAGAAACCCUGUCUCAACCCCCUCCCCCGCAAAAAAACCCCAAAACAACAAAAACAACAAAAUAAACCGAGGCCAUCAGGGCCUGAAUUGGCGGAGGACACAGAUGGCGCCCUCCCAGACUUUUGUUUGGGUGUGUGUGUGGGGGGGCAUUACCAGCAGCCACCUGGCCCCAACUCAGGUGGGGUGGGCAAAUCAGCAAGGAGCCUGCCUGGCACCAAAGGGUACCAUCUUACCAGGCACUGCCCUAGGUUUCUAGGCCUGGGCUCAGGAGAGAGGAAAGACAACAGCACUGAGCCAUUCCUUAGCUGGGGUGGUGGAUAGUACUCAAAAAAGAGCCACUUGUGACCCAACGAAGAGCCCUGGUGCUGAGCGGUUGGGCACCACUGUGGUGGGAGCGCACAAGAAGGGGAGGUGGAAGAGAGAAGAGACAGGGAGAGGCAGAAUGGUUAGUGGGCUGGGGAGAGAAACAGAUCUAGAGAGGCGAGGGUGGUGAGGAAUGGGCUGAUGUAAAUGGCCAGCUGGCCACCCAAGUCCAAGGAAAUGUCUGGGCCAGGUCUUGGUCCAGGGCCCUGGAGCAGCCGAGGGGGGCCUGUGUUGUUGAUGUCUGUGGCUCCUUUUGCCACUGGGAGAUGUGCAGGAGCCUCUGGUCUAAGUCACCGCCUGGGGCCAUGUUGGUGUCUGAAGGCCAUGCUGCUUCAGGGUCCAUGAUGGUAUUUGUGGCCCGAGCUGCCACCUGGGACCAUGGUGACAUCCAGGCCCCAGGCUGCUUCCUAGGACCAUGUCUGGGUCUGUGGUCCUACCACAGCCAGGGGCUGUAUUGAUUUCUCUGGUCCAUGUUGCCACCAAAGACCACAUAGAUGCCUGGGCUCUGGACUGCAACCUGUGGCCAUGAGGGUGUUCCAAGGGCUGUGCUGCACCUGGGACCAUGCUGAUAUGGGUGGCCAGGUCUACCACCUGGAGCCAUACAGAUAUCUGGGCACUGGCCACUGCCUGUUUAGGUCCGUGGUCCUGCUGCUGUUGGGGUCUGUGGUGAUGUUCAUGGCCUGUGUUAGCACGGGAGUCAUUGAAACAAUGCUGUGCUGAGCCAACCCCUCCCUUCACUGGCCCUGGGAUGGCUGGCCCUGCAGCAGGAGAGCUGGCCCUACCCCUCACCUUAGGCGUGCACCUCACCUGGGCACCACACUAGAGUUGAUCCUGUGGUUGGGGACACAUGUGGGAGAGCUGGCCCUGGAAUCACAAGAAUGGGAGAGCUAGCCCUGCCCCAUACUAGUUGUAGCACACAGGAGAGCAGGCAUGGUACCUUCCCUGGGCAAAACUGUAGAGCUGGCCCUGGUGAUGUGAAUGUCGGGGACCCGGAUCUGAGGACCUGAGAGCAGGAGCACUGACCCAGCUCCUUGCUGUAGGCUGCAUUGGGUGAGCUAGCCGAGGCAGUGCUGGAGAGCUCACCCAGGUAGUGAGGAUGAGGGAAAGCUGGCAGGCUGCUCAGCCCAGCUACCACCCAGGCUCAGAACCUGGGCUAGGAGUUGGCCCACCCCAACAUCCACCAAAUCUAUGAACAUGUUGGAGCAUGAACCUACAGAUCCAAAACAGCAGGGUCUCUAUCCAUGACACAGGACAACAGGAUAUCCAAGAGGACCCCUAAUGAGAGCCCGUAAUUGGUGGUGGAGACCUUGAGUCAGACCAAUGACUCGUGGCAAUAACACUUGCAAGUAAAGAUGAAUGGACUAAAGGGUAAACUGAGUGACUCAGCAGGGCCACACUACAGCUCCCAAGGCAAGAUUCUUCUCUUUCUGUCUUGUUUUGUUUGGUCUUUGGUUUUCCCUUUACAUUUGGUUUUGAUUUGGGGGUGGGGAGGGCCGAUGUGAGGAGACAGAGAGAUAAGUAGGAUCAGAACGCAUGAUGUGAAAUCCACAAAGAAUCAAUAAAAGUUAAAAACCAAACAAACACAAAACCAAAUUGAGAGGAAGAGGUCACACCAACAUGUUUCAGCAACUAUAAAUUGGAACUAUAAUGGUAUUUUAGUAAACUCUAAUUUAUAGUGCCACUAAUUACACAGCCUGAAGAUAAAUCCUUCAAGUACUGAUACAUAGUUUACACCCAUGAAAGGAAAGAUGACCAUCACAUGUAUGAACCACCAGCUCAUGAAUCCCUGUAUCCAAGACUCCCAAAAAGACUCCUUCCUUGUUAAAUUCUUCAAACUUCAGUUGAACUAAAAACUUUCACUUGAACUUUCAACUGACACCUAAAAAAAUUGAACUUUCACUUGAACUUAUUGAGGUCCAUUGACAGGUUUCCACAAUAUGCUCACUUAUCCAUAUUUUAAUUGCAUACAUCAUAAGAGCAAAGAAAUCCUGCCAGUUAGAAAGGCCUAUCUCAUUCAGUGACUAGAGUGUGUCUGUUUGGGCAAACUCAGAAAGAGAUUCCACAUAUAAUAACUGCACAGAUUGUUCAACAGACAGAAAAGAAUUGGAUACAGUUGCUGUGGAGAUGAGGAAAUUUGUUAUGAAACCUCCACAAGUCAUUCUAGUAAGAACCAAGAAAAUUUCUUUUGUCAGUUUUACAGUAUCUGUAAACCACUACAUCAUCAGCCCAAACAUCUCCUUGCACGUUUUUUAUUGGCAGAAUUUGGUACAAGUAGUUCUAUAGAUGGCAAUAACCAACUUGCAAUUAAAGGGCGAUUCCCACAGAAACAGAAAUAAUAUGUCUUAAGAAGAUGUAUCAAGGAAUUCUUGUUAAACAUGCUAAUCACCAGACCCAAUCCUGCAGAUUCUCGAUGCUUUAUUGCUGGUAUAAAAACUGGCUUCCAGGCUAUCACAGGCAAGCGAGCUCAGUUCCCUGCCAAAGUUAACUAGUUUGCUAAUCCCCACUAAUUUUCCCCAGUGUGUGGGCUGGAUGGGUUUACCAUCAGAGUGGACAUACCAUUGCGUUAAAAAUAAGACAGAAGAGCUGCCAAGUUCUCUGGCACUGACCUGAAAUCCUUGCAAGAUGACAAUAAUCAAGUUGUUGACAUACUCAUUACUUACUUUAACAAUUGCCAGAGAAAUACGAUGGGGGACCGGGGUUGCUUUUUAAAGUUGUUCUUUACACUUCUGUAAAAUGCAAGAUAAAUAAAUUAUUAUGGAGUGGUGAAACAUGAGUAGGGACCCCAGGUAAGUUUUGUUGGGUCAACAGUGGGCAGAACGCCUUUCUUCUGUAAGCCACUGAUUUCAUAUUCAUUGGUACUAUAAUGUUCCAUUGUUUCACCAUUAAUGAAGUGCUUGAUUCUCCUUGGGACAUUCUUCUCUUUAAACCUCUGGCUCCCAGUUCUACAUUUCUCCCUUUCAUUACACAUCACUGCGCCUACCAGACCACAUUUACAGCAAGGAGCCUCCCCUAGUUGUAAGUAUUUUACUGAGAAUUUUUCAUCCAUGCUUAUCAUUUUUUUUUUGCUGUUAGGUCUUUGGCUUUUAAUAUCAAGGUAAUAUUGGCUUUGUGAAAAUUACUUGGAAAUAUUCCUUCAUUUUUUAUUUCCAGUCUACUCCCAGUUAACUUUCUCUGCCCAGUGCUUGUGGAUCAAGAUGUAAGCUCUCCUCUGCUGAGCUUCCUGCCUGUGGGCCGUGCUCUCUACCAUGAUGGUUAUAGACUCUAACUCUGGAACUAGGCCGGAAGAGGGCACUGGGCUCCUGGAACUGGAGAUACAGACAGUUGUGAACCACCGUGUGGGUGCCUGGACCUGAACUCAUGUCCUCUGCAGGAGCAGCCUGUGCUCUUAACUACAGAGCCAUAUUUAUAGUCCCUGCUUUGUUUUAGGUAUGUUGGGUCACUUGUCCAUCAAAACCAGGAUAGAUCCCCCCCCGCCAGUCAGAAUGUCUGUCAUCACGUAAGUAAUAAUAAAUGUGGUGAGGAUGUUGAGUUUAGGAAAAGGAGCACUUGAGCAAUUUUGGUGGUAUUAUACAUUAGUCUGGACACUAUGGAAAUAAGUAUGGAGGCUUAAAAAACCCCCAGAACGAACCUUAAAUGUACGGUUAACAUAUGAACCCAUGAUACUACUUCUUGUAUAUCCCCAAAAUAAUUAAAGUUGGCAUAGAGUAAAGAUGCUUGCACAUCCAUGUUUAUUAUGGAACUAAUCAUAACAAAGUAUUAACUUAGCCUAGGUACCUGCCAGUGAAUGAAUGUCUCAAGAACAUGAAGUUAUAUAUUCACAACUGAGUUUUAUUUUGUCAUAAACAAGAGUGAAGCUGUAUUACUUUUAGGAAAAUAGAUGGAUCCAGAGAUAAUUUUAUGAAAUAAGAUAGACUUAGAAAGACAAACUAUUACAUUUUUCUCAUGUACAGGAAAGAAAGGGAGAUACAGAGAGAGACUUUUGGGAAGCAGAAAUAGUGUACUAUUCUUUAAGAAAAUACUGCAGUACAGGAGUAUUUUUAAAAUACUGUAUUUUAAAAACAAUACAGUACUAUAUUUGUACCUAACCAUAGUGGGUACAAAAAAGAGUAGUGUGGUGAAUAUGACAUUUUAUAUAUGUAUGAAAAUGUAAUAGUUAAGCUUAUUAUGUUAUAAAAUUAAUAUGCACUCAUUAAAAUAAUUUUAUUAUUAAGAAAGAUAAAGUAACUUAAAAACAAAUUGUGAAUAAAAUGGAUGGAGUCAUGAUGGCUAGCGGAAGGAGACAAUUGCUAGCUAGCAAUUGUUACUUACCUUCCUCUGAGGGGUUAAACUCUUUCUACCUACUAAGAGGAGACACGAAGAGAAUUGAUCGUUAUUGAUUCAUUUUGUGAAGUCAAGUACUAUUUCUGUAUCAUCUCUUCAGAAAUCAUCACUGCAUCAAAUACUUCCUGUGUUAAUGCCAUGCUAACACCCUCUAGUCAUGAUCACCAGUGACCUAGAUACUAAACUAUGAUACAGUGGUCUAGGUAAAGAUUGCCAGUCCAGUUAUUUGCAAGAUUAAGUCAUUUUGAAAGUAUGGGAUGAGCCAAUGACUCCUAUUUAUUUAUUUAUUUAUUAAUUUAUUAUUUAAACCACAGUUUCUCUUCCCACCUCUCCUCCUGCCCCCUCCCCCUGCUUCCCAUCUACCCCCUCUCCCCACUCACUCCUCCUCCAUCUUCAUUCAGAAAGGUGCAGGCCUCCCAUGGGCUCGAAUAAAGCAUGGCACGUCAAGUUGAGGCAUGACUGAGCUCCUUCUCUUGCAUCAAGGCUGUGCCAGGUAAUCCAGCAUGGGGAACAGGUUCCCCAAAGCCAGCCAAGUACCAGGACAGGUCCUGCUCUCACUGCUAGGAGCCUUACAAAGAGACCAAGCUACACAACUGUCACACACAUUCAGAGGGCCUAGGUCGGUCCCAUGGAGGCUCCCUAACUGUUGGUCCAGAGACCAUGAGCUCCUGCAAGCUCAAGUCAGCUAUCUCUGUGGGUUCCUCAUCAUGACGCCCCUGACUUGUAUAGUCCCUCCUCCCUUUGUUCAGCAAGUCUUCUGGAGCUCACCCAGUGCUUGGUUGUGGAUCUCUGCACCUGCUUCCAUCAGUUACUGGAUAGAGUAUCUGAUGACAGUUAAGGUAGCCACCAAUCUGAUUACAGUAGAUGGCUAGUUCAGUCACUGUCUCCACUAUUGCAAGGAAUCCUAGCUGGAGUCAUCCUUGUGGAUUCCUGGGUGUUUUCCUGGCUCCAGUUUUCUCUCUAUCCCUGAAAUGCACCUCCAUUAAGAUGUCUCUUUCUUACUCUUCCCCUCUGUCCCUCCCCCAGCCUGCCUCCCAAACCCAACUCCCACCCCACCCACUCUCUCAAGUUCCCAUUCCUCCAUUCCCCCUCCCCUGUCUCCAGUUUACUCCGGAUAUCUCUUCUAUUUCCCCUUCCCAGGGAAAUCCAUGUAUCCCUCUUUGGGCCCUCCUUGUUAUCUAGCUUUUCUGAGACUGUGGAUUGUAGGUUGGUUAUCCUAUACUUACUCCUAAUAUCCACUUAUAAGUACAUACUAUGUUUGUCUUUCUGGGGCUGGGCUAUCUCACUCAGAAUUUUUUUCUAGUUCUAUCCAUUUGCCUGCAAAUAAAGAAUUCAAGAAACUGGACAUCAAAAUACCCAAUAAUCCAAUUAAAAAAUGAGGUACUGAUCUAAACAGAAUUCUCAACAGAAGAAUCUCAAAUGGUUGAAAGACAUUUAAGGAAUUGCUCAACAUCCUCAGUCAUCAGGGAAAUGCAACUCAAAAUGACUUUGAGAUACCAUCUUACAUCUGUCAGAAUGGCUAAGAUCAAAAACACUAAUGUUGGAGAAGAUGUGGAGAAAUGAGAAUACUCCUUCAUUGCUGGUGGGAGUGCAAACUUAUACAGCCACUUUGGAAAUCAAUAUGGUGGUUUCUCAGAAAAUUGGGAAUCAAUCUAUCUCAAGAUCCAGCUAUACCACUCUUGGGCAUAUACCCAAAGGAUGCUCAAUCACACCACAAAGAUACUUGCUCAACUAUGUUCAUAGCAGCAUUGUUCAUAAUAGCCAGAACCUGGAAACAUCUUACAUGCCCCUCAACUGACAAAUGGAUAAGGAAAAUGUGGAACAUUUACACAAUGGAGUAUUUCUCAGCUAUAAAAAACAAUGACCUCAGUGACUUCUUUUCCUGUCUCCCAUGUGUAUCAUUGUCUAAUUUAGAAUCAUUGCUGAAUAGUAGAAUUUUCUACAGAUUUUUCACAUCCUUCCUUAACCACAUGAUUGUUAUUGAUUCCACAAAGAAUUUCAUAGCCCAACUGUCAAUAGCGCUAAGGUUAAAACUUAUUCAUUGAUCAUGUCUUAAACAACAAACUGCAUAGUGUAACAAAGAACCAAAGACUGAGUUAUGCGGAGACUAGCUCCAGAUGUGGGAACAAGGAAGGGGAAAGGCUUCUGUGGAGAAUAUCAAAUCAAUAAUAAUACUAAAUAUCAAUCUGGUUUUAUUAUUAAUAUGCAUUAUAAGCUUCUGGUGAAGGUCAUUGAUGAAAUUCUCCUUCCUUAAACACUAUGUAGAUUGUAAUAGUUUGCAAAGCCAACAGAUAUUUGGCAGGCUAUGGUUACUUCAAUUUUCCUGCUCAAUUUUAGUAAUACACUUGUACACUUUAAAAAUAUCAGCUCUUGUCUUUGAUAAACAAUCUUUGUAUGGAAGUAAACUCAGAGAGAUGCUCACAAUCAAUUGACUGCUGCCUCUUAUGCACUUGGCUGCACCUGUUUAAUGGUAAGUUUGUCAUGGCUUGGGAAUAAGCUCCUUCAUUUCCAGUACCUGUGAUGGGGCAACCUCCCUUAUGUUGGCUGCCUUCAAAAAAACAGUGAAAUGUCUUUCAAAUCCAUUCCUUCUCUCUGUGUUAUUAUCUAUACUCAUCAUAUCUUGUCUGCAUGAUAGACAUUGCUAGAAAACCGAGGAUCUUCCUAAUUCUAGUUUUAUAUGUUGCUAGACCAUUCUCUCUAAAGGAGAUUAUGUUGCUUAUCCAAUUUGUAGCCUUUAAUAUCUCCAUUUAUAUUUCGUAUUGUAUAAGGUCUGACAUGGUAGCCUGCCAUUCAAGCCCCCUGACCAUUCAUUACAUUUUAGUAUUACUAUAUUAUGGCUUUUCAAUCCCAUGGGUCCCCAUGUAUGACCUAUGCCCUGUAGCUAGAGUUUUCCUGCCUUGCCCACAGUCAGGACAAAUCUUUGUCACCCGCCAGUCCCACAGCUGCUCAGACCCAACCAAGUAAACACAGAGACUUAUAUUGCUUACAAACUGUAUGGCCAUGGCAGGCUUCUUGCUAACUGUUCUUAUAGCUUAAAUUAAUCCAUUUCUAUAAAUCUAUACCUUGCCACGAGGCUCAUGGCUUACCGGUGGCUUCACAUGCUGCUUGUCAUGGCGGUGGCUGGCAGUGUCUCUCUGCUCCUUCCUGUUCUCUCAAUUCUCCUGUUAGUCCCGCCUAUACUUCCUGCCUGGCCACUGGCCAAUCAGUGAUUUAUUUAUUGACCAAUCAGCAACACAUUUGACAUACA
Peromyscus californicus insignis is the source of this 10489-nucleotide long non-coding RNA. RefSeq lists it as uncharacterized. The record is from RefSeq and is a predicted model, not a curated record. The transcript is spliced from 3 exons. Lineage: Eukaryota; Metazoa; Chordata; Mammalia; Rodentia; Cricetidae.